UGGAAAAACUGACAACAGCUUGUUGUUCUCAAGAAAUCAAAGAAUAGUAAAAGCUGGACACAAAUAGAUAUCUCUGCUGAUGUGUGGAUUGGUCAUGAUGUAAAAGGUACAGCCAGAGGUAUUUGUGUAUUCUUUUCAAUGCUAGAAAAGGAAAGUUAAUGCCAAGCUGCUUCAAACAUUCUAUUAAAUGCAUAGCAACAGGAUAAUAUACAAUGAUGCUACCUCAAUUGUUGAAGGUAUCUCUUAUUAAAAGAUCACUGUUUGCAUUCAAAAUUGCAAAGCUUACAAAGUUGUUAAGAUUGUUCGGUAAAGAAAUAUUUG
This 321-nucleotide unclassified non-coding RNA is filed under the name Hevea brasiliensis (rubber tree). The record is from RNAcentral. Lineage: Eukaryota; Viridiplantae; Streptophyta; Magnoliopsida; Malpighiales; Euphorbiaceae.